GACUCCUACGGGAGGCAGCAGUGGGAAUUUUGGACAAUGGGGAAACCCUGAUCCAGCAAUGCCGCGUGUGUGAAGAAGGCCUUCGGGUUGUAAAGCACUUUUGUCCGGAAAGAAAACUUCUGCCCUAAUACGGUGGGAGGAUGACGGUACCGGAAGAAUAAGCACCGGCUAACUACGUGCCAGCAGCCGCGGUAAUAC
This 198-nucleotide ribosomal RNA is filed under the name uncultured bacterium. RNAcentral's name for it is "partial 16S ribosomal RNA". It matches the Rfam family "Bacterial small subunit ribosomal RNA", at positions 334 to 526 of the family's 1533-position model. The record is from RNAcentral.